UAGGGAAUCUUCCACAAUGGACGCAAGUCUGAUGGAGCAACGCCGCGUGAGUGAAGAAGGUUUUCGGAUCGUAAAGCUCUGUUGUUGGUGAAGAAGGAUAGAGGUAGUAACUGGCCUUUAUUUGACGGUAAUCAACCAGAAAGUUACGGCUAACUACGUGCCAGCAGCCGCGGUAAUACGUAGGUGGCAAGCGUUGUCCGGAUUUAUUGGGCGUAAAGCGAGCGCAGGCGGAAGAAUAAGUAUGAUGUGAAAGCCCUCGGCUUAACCGAGGAACUGCAUCGGAAACUGUUUUUCUUGAGUGCAGAAGAGGAGAGUGGAAUUCCAUGUGUAGCGGUGGAAUGCGUAGAUAUAUGAAAGAACACCAGUGGCGAAGGCGACUCUCUGGUCUGCAACUGACGCUGAGGCUCGAAAGCAUGGGUAGCGAACAGG
Molecule: ribosomal RNA, 429 nt
Filed under: bacterium
Lineage: Bacteria
Description: partial 16S ribosomal RNA
Rfam family: Bacterial small subunit ribosomal RNA
Source: RNAcentral